UAGGGAAUCUUCCGCAAUGGGCGAAAGCUUGACGGAGCAACGCCGCGUGAGUGAUGAAGGUCUUUGGUUCGUAAAACUCUGUUAUUAGGGAAGAACAAAUGUGUAAGUAACUAUGCACGUCUUGACGGUACCUAAUCAGAAAGCCACGGCUAACUACGUGCCAGCAGCCGCGGUAAUACGUAGGUGGCAAGCGUUAUCCGGAAUUAUUGGGCGUAAAGCGCGCGUAGGCGGUUUUUUAAGUCUGAUGUGAAAGCCCACGGCUCAACCGUGGAGGGUCAUUGGAAACUGGAAAACUUGAGUGCAGAAGAGGAAAGUGGAAUUCCAUGUGUAGCGGUGAAAUGCGCAGAGAUAUGGAGGAACACCAGUGGCGAAGGCGACUUUCUGGUCUGUAACUGACGCUGAUGUGCGAAAACGUGGGGAUCAAACAGG
This 429-nucleotide ribosomal RNA is filed under the name Actinomycetes bacterium. RNAcentral describes it as "Actinobacteria bacterium partial 16S ribosomal RNA". It matches the Rfam family "Bacterial small subunit ribosomal RNA", at positions 355 to 776 of the family's 1533-position model. The record is from RNAcentral. Lineage: Bacteria; Bacillati; Actinomycetota; Actinomycetes.